GACGAACGCUGGCGGCGUGCUUAACACAUGCAAGUCGAACGGAAAGGCCCUGCUUGCCGGGUACUCGAGUGGCGAACGGGUGAGUAACACGUGGGUGAUCUGCCCUGCACUUCGGGAUAAGCUUGGGAAACUGGGUCUAAUACCGGAUAGGAACCAUCUUUAGUGUGGUGGUUGGAAAGUUUUUUCGGUGUAGGAUGAGCUCGCGGCCUAACAGCUUGUUGGUGGGGUAAUGGCCUACCAAGGCGGCGACGGGUAGCCGGCCUGAGAGGGUGUACGGCCACAUUGGGACUGAGAUACGGCCCAGACUCCUACGGGAGGCAGCAGUGGGGAAUAUUGCACAAUGGGCGCAAGCCUGAUGCAGCGACGCCGCGUGGGGGAUGAAGGCCUUCGGGUUGUAAACUCCUUUCGCUAGGGACGAAGCUUUGUUGUGACGGUACCUAGAUAAGAAGCACCGGCUAACUACGU
This 465-nucleotide ribosomal RNA is filed under the name uncultured bacterium. RNAcentral describes it as "partial 16S ribosomal RNA". It matches the Rfam family "Bacterial small subunit ribosomal RNA", at positions 28 to 506 of the family's 1533-position model. The record is from RNAcentral.